This 116-nucleotide ribosomal RNA is filed under the name Serratia sp. (in: enterobacteria). Lineage: Bacteria; Pseudomonadati; Pseudomonadota; Gammaproteobacteria; Enterobacterales; Yersiniaceae. The record is from RNAcentral.
CCUGGCGGCACUAGCGCGGUGGACCCACCUGACCCCAUGCCGAACUCAGAAGUGAAACGCCGUAGCGCCGAUGGUAGUGUGGGGUCUCCCCAUGCGAGAGUAGGGAACUGCCAGGC